This is a long non-coding RNA of Cynoglossus semilaevis (tongue sole), 1101 nucleotides long. RefSeq lists it as uncharacterized. NCBI's taxonomy places the organism in Eukaryota, Metazoa, Chordata, Actinopteri, Pleuronectiformes, Cynoglossidae. The record is from RefSeq and is a predicted model, not a curated record. The transcript is spliced from 4 exons.
GGUUUCCACAGGUUUCUUCAUGGUCAGUCUCUUGUAUCGGACCAUUGCUAUUCCAAUGAUUACCAAAGGUGUAAAUCAGCUCCUCUAUCUGACCAGUGUGGACACAAGGGUCGGCGAUCCCGUCAGCUGUGAUUCCAGCAGCCGGUUGAUCCUCUGAAGAUCCGACUGAGAAGCCACAAAGUAUCUUUCACUGAGGAGAACCUCAGAAAAACAGACAAACUGGUGGAGCUGACCAUCAGUAAACCAGGAGCCAAGGGUGAUGUUCCAGUCGGAGUGAUCGUGGGCAACGUUAUUGGUGGACUAGCGCUGUUAGCUGUGGCUCUUCUGUGGAAGUUUGAAUUUUUCAAAAGAAAGUACCAGCAGCUUCAAAGGGAGGCUGAAGGAGAGAGGCAGAGCAAUGCACAUGUUGAUGAGGUGCUGUGACCUGCUGAGAAAAGGUCCUGCUCUUCCUGCUGUGCUCUGAACUCUGACCAAGGACUUUCUCCAUUUCAGGGGAGGUGUUUCUACUGUCUUUGCUUCUGUAAACUGUACAUUAACUGUUUGUUUAGCUGUUGUGCACUGAAGCUGAAUGAAUACAAAACUGUAUUUUCUUGACGGAGACCUCACGUAAGUGAAUAAUGACUUUUGGGACCUAUGUUUGCUACAAAACAUAGGACAAAAUAUAUUUUUACAACAUGGGAGGUUAAAAAUUGUCAUAAAAAACUAUUUUUCCAAAAAUUAUUUUUCAAUAAAGCACUGUGAAAACUGCUUUAGCAAAUACAUGAGAUCUGCUCUCAACUCUGGUGCUCAGGAAAUGAUGUCAUUAGUAAUUACUAAUGAAGCAAUAGUUUUCCAGAUACGUUAGUAUAGGAUAUAAUAAGAUAUCAAACAGAUGUGUUAUUAUUCCUUUUCUUUGUGUUUGCACUGUAUAUGUUGUAAAAUAGAUUUGAGAUGUUUCUUAUGGAGGUUUUAUAUCUUUCGUGUUCGUGGUUCAUGACAAACUGUUUCUGUUAAUAAUCUUAUGGUAAGGUUAUAUUGGUGGGUAACUUGUUUCCCUGUUUUAAAAUUGCACAUGUGCAGCUUUGCCAUUUUAAACGAAUAAAUAUUAUUUUUUUAGAUGCA